This 340-nucleotide RNase P RNA is filed under the name Aquiluna borgnonia. RNAcentral's name for it is "Bacterial RNase P class A". It matches the Rfam family "Bacterial RNase P class A". Rfam says of the family: Ribonuclease P (RNase P) is a ubiquitous endoribonuclease, found in archaea, bacteria and eukarya as well as chloroplasts and mitochondria. Its best characterised activity is the generation of mature 5'-ends of tRNAs by cleaving the 5'-leader elements of precursor-tRNAs. The record is from Rfam by way of RNAcentral. Lineage: Bacteria; Bacillati; Actinomycetota; Actinomycetes; Micrococcales; Microbacteriaceae.
AGGGUCAACCAGACGGCCGCGACAGAUGUCGAGGAACGUCCGGGCUCCACAGAGCGCGAUGGUGGGUAACGCCCACCCGAGGAAACUCGAGAGACAGUGCAACAGAAAGUAAACCGCCCGCAAGGGUAAGGGUGAAACGGUGGUGUAAGAGACCACCAGCAGAUCAGGUGACUGGUCUGGCUAUGUAAACCUCAUCGGGAGCAAGACCAAGCAGAAGGUGCUACAGCUGCUCGCUUAGCCUUCGGGUAGGUCGCUAGAGCCUGCGGGUAACUGCAGGCCGAGAUAGAUGGCCGUCAGUGCUUCGGCACUACAGAACCCGGCGUAUCGGUUGACCCUCUAC